Molecule: long non-coding RNA, 575 nt
Filed under: Equus asinus (donkey)
Lineage: Eukaryota; Metazoa; Chordata; Mammalia; Perissodactyla; Equidae
Description: lncRNA (ENSEASG00005023557.1)
Source: RNAcentral
CCGGGGCUGGAGCUGCGGGCUGACUGGGGUGGCCGCGUGGACACUACCCUCCGGCGGGACCGAGGAGCAGCUGCUGGGAGUCUGUGUCCCUCCCGCUGCUCCUGGACAUUCCCAGGCGGCACGGAACUCAGAUUUCGGGGAUUAAGAUCAAGCCCCCGGAGGCGAGUGCGCCGCGGAGAGCAGACGGAGACUGGGAUUCUUCCAGAGCCGCCGAAAAGUCCGCGCGCUGGACAGAGAACUCAGCUCCAACUUGGGCGGCUCAGAUCAACCCCAGUGGCAACCCUCAGGCCAACGGGAAAGACCUCGGCCCGAGCCUGAGCCUGGUGCCACGCAGAAGGCGUUUCCUGUUGGUUCGACUGCACUUGGGCCGGGUGAGAGGACUUCCCGGGCAGAGAGAAAGGGGCAGCCUCGGCUUACUUCAGGAAAGCGCAGGUGUUUGGACCUUGAGCCAAAAUACAUCAAAGAAGAGAUCCCCUCCCACCCCCAGCUUACAGUCUCUCAGCUAUCAAGUGUGGACUCGACAGGAAUGUUGCAAGGAAAAACUAAUUAAACGGCAGUACAAUGCUUUGAAAAUA